RNAcentral lists this ribosomal RNA (497 nucleotides) under uncultured bacterium. RNAcentral's name for it is "partial 16S ribosomal RNA". It matches the Rfam family "Bacterial small subunit ribosomal RNA", at positions 28 to 507 of the family's 1533-position model. The record is from RNAcentral.
GAUGAACGCUGGCGGCGUGCCUAAUACAUGCAGGUCGAGCGAACGGACGAGAAGCUUGCUUCUCUGAUGUUAGCGGCGGACGGGUGAGUAACACGUGGAUAACCUGCCUAUAAGACUGGGAUAACUUCGGGAAACCGGAGCUAAUACCGGAUAAUAUUUUGAACCGCAUGGUUCAAAAGUGAAAGACGGUCUUGCUGUCACUUAUAGAUGGAUCCGCGCUGCAUUAGCUAGUUGGUAAGGUAACGGCUUACCAAGGCAACGAUGCAUAGCCGACCUGAGAGGGUGAUCGGCCACACUGGAACUGAGACACGGUCCAGACUCCUACGGGAGGCAGCAGUAGGGAAUCUUCCGCAAUGGGCGAAAGCCUGACGGAGCAACGCCGCGUGAGUGAUGAAGGUCUUCGGAUCGUAAAACUCUGUUAUUAGGGAAGAACAUAUGUGUAAGUAACUGUGCACAUCUUGACGGUACCUAAUCAGAAAGCCACGGCUAACUACGUG